AAAAAAAGAGCUUAAUAAUAUUAUAUGUUUCGCUUUUUUUUAACUCUAUUAUUCAUUUUUAACCAGCUUAGUACGAUUGGUAACAUUUUUUUUAAUGAUUUUUUUUUUUGUUUAAAGGGUGGUUUUCUUUGGUUUUAUUUUAUUUUAUUUUAUUUUAUUUUUUUUUUUUUGACAGUGUGCUACAUAUAUUAUUACGAUUUUCAAAAAGUACGUUAGCAAAAAUGUUUACUAUAUUUGACACAAAAAAUGGUUACAAAGAAUACGAGCAACUAUUUAUUACUUUGUCUUCAUCAUUUAUGAAGAUGUUAAAACCUAUUUUUACUAUCUUAUUUUUUUUUUUUUUUUUAUUGUUCUUUUUCUGUAUUUUUCUUAAAAAAUUUAUAUUUUGAACAUUCGCUCAUUUUAUUUAUUUUUUACAUGUUUUAUUUACUUUUAUUUUAUUUUUUUUUUACAUGCUUUCCAAUUUUACUAAGUAGUAUGAACGUGUUAAAAAAACAUACAUAUUUUUGUUAUUACUUUAUGUUUAUAUAUACUUAUUUGAUUAAUUAAUUUAAAAAAAAAAAAAUUACUUUUUUAUUUUGACCUAUUUACUUUGUACUCUCGUUAAUUUGUACUCUCGUUAAUUUGUACUCUCGCUAGCUUGUACUCUCGUUAAUUUGUUGCGUUUUUACUUUUUUUUAAACUUGGGAGUAUGCGAAAAUAACAGGCACAGGGGCUUAUGUAAAACCGUUAUACAUACAUAUAUAUAAAUAUAUAUACGUAUGUAUGUAUUUGCACAUAUGUGCUUAUAACAGAUCUCGCUUAUUAAAAUAUAUUUGAGCUACUAAUCUAAAAUACAUCACAUUUCAUUUGUAAAUAAUAUAUAUGCUACAUACAUACGCUCACAUGCCCAUUCCAACCCACAAUGAAUGCAAAUAAUAAAACAGUUUUUGAGUUUAACGACAUAAAAAAGUAUUACAACCAAGUUUUUACAAAAGAAUUGUUGUUAAGGUUUGAAAAAGAAAUAAAUAUAGAAAAAUUAAUUUACUCUUAUUUUUAUUAUUUCAAUUUGUAUAUAGGCAAUAAUGAUAUUGAAAAGGAUACAAUAGAAAGUGACUAUUUAGAUACAGACGAUGAAUUUGCUAUAAUGUAUUCAGAUACAUUUAACAAGAACAUAAAACUAAGAACAUAUGAUGAGAACUCCAUUAGGAAUAAUAAUAAUUAUUUAAUAAAUUAUUUUGACCCUAAUAUAGAUGAAAAUACAUAUGAAAAAAAAAUAGAAAACACUUUUUCCUAUUUAAAUAAUUUUUUAAUAUCAUUAUAUACUGAUUCAAAUGAUAAUAGUAAAAAAUUAAGUGAAAAUGAAAUAAUAAAUAAUAUAGUUUCAACAAUAAAUGUAAAAGAAGGAAAAGAAGAAGAUAAAUUUGUAAUUUUUGAUAUAGAUUUUGAUAAAGUACAAAUAAAUGAAUUAACAUUAAUUAUUAUGGCAUAUAUUAUAAGAAGUAUUUUUAAUUUACCAUUAGGUAGGAAACUCAUAUUUUCAAAUAUAAAUAAUAAUAAUUUAUUAUUAAAAAGUAUAAUUAUUCAAAAUAUAUACAUUCAAAUAUUUGUUUUACGAAAUUUAAAAAAAUAUUUAAUGGAUGAUGGAGAGACAUAUAACAAUGUUCAUCUAAAAAUGAUUAAAAUAUGUCUUUUUAGUAAAUCACUUUGUUCUUUUAAUUAUUCAAAUAAAAUAUUAUUAUAUUUGAUAAAUCAAAACAAACAAAUCCAAAAAAUUUUUGAUUUCUAUUUUCUGAAAAAAUUAACAAAUUCUCUUGAUAAGUCGAAUAAUAUACAACGUUUAAGGUUAUUAGAAUUUAUAACUGAAUGUUUAAAUACAAACAAUGAAACAAUUUGUAAUAUAUUUAGCGUAAACACACAAACAAAUUAUCACAGCGAUUUUGUGAAUAAAAAAAAUGAUAAAGAUUUUGAGGAAUUGAUGAAAAUGUACACUGAAAAUUGGCGUUCUACUUGUGAUGUGUAUGAGCAUGUCAAUAGUGAAGAUGCUAGUGGUGGACAACAGCAAAACAAAACCGACGUGAACGAAUACAUGUUGUCAUUAAUGGAUCCAAUAAUUUUACAAAACAAAAUGCAAAAGUAUAAUCUAACACAAAACGAUGUAUAUAACAUGACUAAAAUAAAUUUAUAUAAAUAUUUAAUUAUUUUAUAUUCUAAAAAUGAUUUAUUAUUAAAAAUAAAUGUAUUGGAAGUAUUCUAUAAGUUAAUACAAACAACUUAUUGCUCUAAUUCCAUUUUGGAAAACUGUUAUUUUUUAUAUAUAGUUUUAGCCGAUUUGUAUUUUUUAAAUGAUGAGCUUCUACAUACUAGCAUUUUGAAUUCUUUAAUUUCUGACACUCAACCAAGUAAAAGCAUUAUACAUGUUCUUAUGAAUGCACAUUCUAAUAUAUUAAUUAAAAAAAUAAUAGAAUAUGUACAAAACGAUUCAAAUGAUAUAAAUGAUGAAAAACUUGUAGUUGGUAUAAAAGCCUUUGGUUAUUUUUUUUCUUUUAAAGAUUAUACUAAAUUAUUUUUAACUUUAAACCCUAACAUUCAUUUAAUAGCAAUAAAUAAAAUUAGUACACAUUCUAAUACAAAUCUAUUAAAACAUGCAAUAAACAUAUGGAUAAAAAUUAUAGCAUCUGAAUGCAUGACUAAAGAAUGGUAUGAAAUGUUAAUACAUAAUUUGUUAUUUAAUAAAAUUAUUAUCAUACUAAAAGAAAUCGACGAUAAUAUUAUUCAUAGAAAUAUAUUCGAUCUUCUAACGAUAAUAAUAAAAUUUGAUAUAAUUAAUUUAAUUCUAAACGAACAAUGGCUAAUCAAAAGCUUACAAGUAAAUUCAAAAAAUG
Molecule: long non-coding RNA, 2864 nt
Organism: Piliocolobus tephrosceles (Ugandan red Colobus)
Lineage: Eukaryota; Metazoa; Chordata; Mammalia; Primates; Cercopithecidae
Source: Ensembl